RNAcentral lists this unclassified non-coding RNA (363 nucleotides) under uncultured bacterium. RNAcentral describes it as "contains 16S-23S intergenic spacer region". The record is from RNAcentral.
UCUCCCGUGAGGGAGCAGUCUCGCCUGACACUUGUAACAGGCAACGAGGGUUGCGUUCGUUUCCCCACUUAAGGGAACAGCUCAAGCCACGAACUGACGACGGCCAUGCAUCACCUGUCAUACACCCUCGAAGGCUUCCUAGCUUUCACUAGGCGUGCAGUAUGAUUUCUAGCCUCGGUAAGGUUCUUCGUUUGGUGACGAAUUAAGCCUCAUGAUCCACCGCUUGUGCGAGCCCCCGUCUAUUCCUUUGAGUUUUAAGCUUGCGCUCGUACUACCCAGGCGGAUGACUUAACGCGUUAGCUUCGUCUCGGAGAGGGUCGAUACUCCCCAAAACCAGUCAUCAACGUUUAGGGCGUGGACUAC